AGACCUAAACUGCUUUUGGUUGGCCCUGUCAAGAAUAUUUAUUUCUAGUCUAUAAAAAUCUUACUCUUCCUCUUUUUUCUUUUCCUGUGUGUGGACAAGAAAGGAGGAUAGGGUUUCUGUUUUGCUUCCAAAAAUAACCAUAGCCUCUCUUCUCUCUGUCACAACUAUCAGAGAAAAUCUAUCUCGGCUGCCUUGGAUCUUGUUAACUUCUCUAUUAUUCUGAUUGUGAUUGUUGUUGUUGUUGUAUCUAGUUCGCUUGGUGCAGGUCGGGAAACGGUUUAUUCAUUUUCUUCCUUUUGGUUCUUGUUAAUGUUGACCAUGUGAAUUGGAUUCCCGCCUUGCAUCAACUGAAUCGGAUACAGCAGUGAGUUAGUGACUCAAUAAGGAAGGGUAGUGUAUCUCUUUUGUUCCCAAGUGUCAUUUUGCUAACAAAUUAUGGUAAGGCUCUGAUUAGGAACUGGUUAUUACUCUCUUUUUCUGAAGCAUAGCUAGUAAUUACUCAGUGAUGAUGUCAUAUACUCUUGAAAUAAUAUUCCAAAUAUUGCGUUAAAAGUGUCUUAAGUCGUAAAAUAUUAUAACUCUGGCAUGUCGUUUGUUCUUCCAAUUUAAUCUUGAAAUGGGUCAUUUCAUUUACUAAUAAUGAGAGGAUUAUGUGGUUCCCUAAUCUGUUGAUUUUAAUAGGUUGUUGUCGGUGUGGAGCCUUCGCACUGAGUUGUCAUAUGUUUCCAUUUCUACCUAAUACUGUUUCUAGCUACUACCCGUUCUUUAAGGUACUUACUUAGGCUUGAUGCCAAGUAUCUGCUAGAAUUUUUGCUGUUCAGUAAUGUCAGUUUAGUGCAUCUGAGCAAGUCCUCUUCCCUAAACCCCAAGGUGUUUUCUGUAGCAUUAAAGGUGAGUCUAAUAAGCCUCCCUCCCGAGAGAUAUAUGCUUUACGGGGCUAGAUUUCAUAUCUCAUUUCCCUCAAUUGUCAUUGUGUGUUCAUUCUAAUUCUCCUAGAAUUAGAAGUGGAAUUAUAAGAUCUACAGAUUGGUUAGCUUAAGGUAAUCUCCAAUAGAAUGUUAAAAUAGCUACGGAUUGAAGGUUUAUUUAUUGUCUUGUUACAUGAUUUAGAGUUGAAGCAUUGACGGAUGCCCAUUAAUUCCCCUUUCUCUUCUGACCUCAUUUUACCUUUGUACUUUGUCUAGUAUGAACUGAUGUUGUGAAGCUGGAUGCAGUUCGACAGUGGUGGUGCAACAUAGAUUACACUUGCUACCAAUUGAUUGGGACAGUUUGGCGAGAGAGAAGGUUGAUCAUUUUUGGCAAGCGCAACGUCUCUCACUGUAAGGCAUCUGUAGUUUAAGGUACCUUAGAGAAGUUUAUUUUACUUAACCUUGUUAUUUUCAGUUAUUUACAGUUUUUUCCCCUCUUCUGCUAGGACCAGUUUUUCAUCACUUUCGACUCUGAACUGUUAGUUGUCUUGUUUGUGAAACAAAAGUCGAUCAGCUAUGUAUACCAUUGAAGGAAAAAUAUGGUUGGUUAUCUCGCGGUUGUUGAUCGGUGGCUGUGGACGGGAAAUUUUAUUUCCAUUUUCCUUGUUCAAUUCUUUUUGUCUUUUGCAUAACUGGCUUCACAAUUUUCUUUUUUCUUUAUUAGAUUAUUGUGGACAAUUUGGACGCAUCUUGAAGGGGGUUUAGUGUCUUUUAAAUUUUUAAUCAAUCAGGCACCAAGUACCAUGCUCACUUUAGGAGUUCUUGAACGGCAUGUAAAAACUUUUCUGUCCAUUUCCAUUGGCCUACUGUAGACUGCAUCCCCCCAUCAUGCAUAAAGUAGCAACUGUAUACCAUGUUUAUGAUCUGAUAAUCUACAUCUUUCAGUGUUCUGUCUUUAUCACUUGUUGUUCAGCUGCUGUGCAAGUGUUGAGCAUUUCCUUCUCUGUUUUCUUUACAAACUCCAAUUCAUAUCCCAGUGGGUUCUUACAGACAACUGCUGAUAGAGGAUCUCAAUGCCGAACGCAUUUCCGUGGAAUGCUGCUGGCUGUUGGCUGUUAGAGGCCGCAUUUCUCAAGUGUGCUGAGCAUGAAAAGAUAAACAUCCUUGGCAUCAAGAGUAAAUGCAAUUGCAUGGCUUCUCCAGGUAUGCAGUGAGGAUCUGAUGGUAGUUGGUGUAUUCUUUUCUUGGGCAUUUAAUCUGUUGCGGACCCAGAAAAUAAGGAACCCUGGAGUGUGAUGUUUAUUGGGAGGUUGGACUACUGCUUUGGCUGUAGGCACCGUCAUACUCGCUAUGGAUGGUGGGUAUUGAGAGCUGAGGGAUUCCAUUUGCAAACAGGCAGACAGGAUAAUGAUUCAGAGCUGCAGACAUAUUUACAACAGUUGUGAUGAUUUGGACGAUAUCCGAGUCACCUGCAAAGUUCUGUUCACCUGACAAAUAAACUUAAACUUGCUUUUUGGAAGAAAUACAAAGAUUUAUGAA
Molecule: long non-coding RNA, 2447 nt
Organism: Papaver somniferum (opium poppy)
Lineage: Eukaryota; Viridiplantae; Streptophyta; Magnoliopsida; Ranunculales; Papaveraceae
Exons: 2
Source: RefSeq, a predicted model, not a curated record